ACUCCUACGGGAGGCAGCAGUAGGGAAUCUUCCACAAUGGGCGCAAGCCUGAUGGAGCAACACCGCGUGAGUGAAGAAGGGUUUCGGCUCGUAAAGCUCUGUUGUUAAAGAAGAACACGUAUGAGAGUAACUGUUCAUACGUUGACGGUAUUUAACCAGAAAGUCACGGCUAACUACGUGCCAGCAGCCGCGGUAAUACGUAGGUGGCAAGCGUUAUCCGGAUUUAUUGGGCGUAAAGAGAGUGCAGGCGGUUUUCUAAGUCUGAUGUGAAAGCCUUCGGCUUAACCGGAGAAGUGCAUCGGAAACUGGAUAACUUGAGUGCAGAAGAGGGUAGUGGAACUCCAUGUGUAGCGGUGGAAUGCGUAGAUAUAUGGAAGAACACCAGUGGCGAAGGCGGCUACCUGGUCUGCAACUGACGCUGAGACCCGAAAGCAUGGGUAGCGAACAGGAUUAGAUACCCUGGUAGGAUAGCG
RNAcentral lists this ribosomal RNA (473 nucleotides) under uncultured bacterium. RNAcentral describes it as "bacterial SSU rRNA". It matches the Rfam family "Bacterial small subunit ribosomal RNA", at positions 335 to 801 of the family's 1533-position model. The record is from RNAcentral.